AGUGAACGCUGGCGGUAGGCCUAACACAUGCAAGUCGAACGGCAGCACAGUAAGAGCUUGCUCUUACGGGUGGCGAGUGGCGGACGGGUGAGGAAUACAUCGGAAUCUACUUUUUCGUGGGGGAUAACGUAGGGAAACUUACGCUAAUACCGCAUACGACCUACGGGUGAAAGCAGGGGAUCUUCGGACCUUGCGCGAUUGAAUGAGCCGAUGUCGGAUUAGCUAGUUGGCGGGGUAAAGGCCCACCAAGGCGACGAUCCGUAGCUGGUCUGAGAGGAUGAUGAGCCACACUGGAACUGAGAGACGGUAGAGAGUCCUCCGGGAGGAAGCAGUGGGGAAUAUUGGAAAAGGUGAGCAAGUUGGAACGAGCUAUACAGAGUGGGUGAAGAAGGCAUUCUGGUUGUAAAGCCCUCUUGUGGGGAAAGAAAAGCAGCAGGCUAAUAACUCGAUGUUAGGAGGGUAGCAAAAGAAGAAGCAAGGGCUAACUUCGUG
Molecule: ribosomal RNA, 492 nt
Filed under: uncultured bacterium
Lineage: Bacteria
Description: partial 16S ribosomal RNA
Rfam family: Bacterial small subunit ribosomal RNA
Source: RNAcentral